Molecule: non-coding RNA, 112 nt
Organism: Sphingopyxis sp.
Lineage: Bacteria; Pseudomonadati; Pseudomonadota; Alphaproteobacteria; Sphingomonadales; Sphingopyxidaceae
Source: Rfam
CGCCCAUCCCCGGGGAGCCGCGUCUGCAAUGGCCGGUUGAGAGCGGAAUAGACCGCGACCCGUUGAACCUGAUCCGGAUAAUACCGGCGGAGGGAGGGUCGGUAUUCCGCGC